UGGUGGGCCGAAUGGCCUGUUUUCGCGCUGUAUCUAAGCUAAACUAAAAGAAUCACCAGUCUCUCACAAUUAGGUGUUUAACUCAUUCUGACAACGCUGGUGAGUCCAACCUUUGUUGUCCACCCUGGCAGUGACCGUUUUGGAGAUGUGAAGAUGGGAGACCUUCAAGCACAAGUCUGCAUCAGGGUGGAUGCUUUCCUUACCUGGAAGGGCUUGAGUGAACCAGUUGGCUUUUUAAAAUGACAAUCCAACAAUUUCAUAGCCACUUUUCUAACAAGACUUUUUAUUUAGUCUGAAAUUGAUAUCUCAUUCUGGCAUUCAAGCUCAUGUUUGAUUGGAGAGCUCGCCAGAUACAUAAUUGCCACCAAGUAAUCCACAACCAGAAUGUGUGGAUGGGGUAUAUCUCUCCCUUUCCUCACCCCAGGCUAUAUAAAACCUAUUAAACCUAUAAGUAUGGGUCAACUCCACAGCGAGGUCUUUGGGAAGUUCCUAGCUUUGAACUAGGAGUUUGAGAUUGGAAUUAACCCCGUCACUAUUAGAAAAACAUUGCACAGUAAAGAAAGGCUCCACAGGUGGAAGGGGCAGGAUUCGGGGAGCUACCUUGAGCUUGUGUCCUCCUUUGCCGACCCUUUGGAGAUUGUGAGAUCAUUGGUGAGGGGCCAUCAUUUGGUUGUGGGGGAUUAGAUCUUGGAUAACAUUUUGGGGGUGCAUUUGCAUCCCCAUAUGUUCUAAAGGAUUGAAUCACUCACUCAACACCCAUUCAUCUUUGGGGUGGUGGGGAAUGAGGAAAGGAUCCCACCACUCGGAGAUACUAUUUCUUGGCGUGGACCCAAAAUACCCCAAGAGGAACUCUAUAUCCCAGCUGGAACUCAUUUUCCUGCCCUUAUUGGACCCUAUUGGCUUCUUAUAGGCCAGGACACUUGCUUCUUUCAUGCACCAAACGUAACAUUUAUCUGAAACGGACAUCUCCAGGGGUAGAACCCUGCCCUUGGUCCAUUUCAGCUCCCUUUAUUUAAUAUUGUUGGUCCUGGAGAUUCUGAUGGAAUCCACAUAUUUUGGAGAAGAGCCAGCAUAGACUGGGAGCAAAUCACUAAUUAAUCUAGUUGCUGAUCCACCAUACUGAUGUUCAGAUCUAUGGAGGUCUCUAGGCACACUUCACAGAUCCCAUUCCCAACCCCUGCCAUUCCCAUGUCUAAAUUUUGCCGGAGCUCAUCUUGUCACUGAGAUUCUAUUUGCUCUCUUUCAAGUAAAUUAUGUCCUCUGGCUUUACUCCUUGUUUUUGCUAGUGGGAUUGGGAAGGGAAUUCAGAUCUACUUCAGGCUGCCUCACUAUUACCUCAAGAAAUUUUGAUCUCAAGGACUUUAGGAAUCACUAAGCAACUGACUAGAUUUGCAAUGUCUUUAAAGAAAUGUAGGUCAAAUCCCAGCUGGUCAGCUGCUUGAGGCAUGAGCUGGUCUUCAGUAAUGGGACAUUGCUUAGCCAUAGUAGAUAACAGAGAUAAAAGGCUCACUGUGGCAAUCCUGGGCUUGGGAGGGAGCAAGACAUUCCUGACCUUAUGUUAGCUCUUGUAGCACAUGCUUAUUGUCAAAUGCUGAAUGCAAGCCCACCUAUAAGCCAGUGAUGAUGGUACAUCUUAUUCCUUUGCGCAUCACCUCUUAAAUUCCCACCCCCCCCCCUCAUCUUUUGAGUUUGUCUAAUCUCAGAUCAGUCUUGCUUUGGUCAGCACCUGAAGUCAAAGAACUGACUGCCCAAGGAGUUGUGGAUUCAUUAGGGUCCCACUAUACAGUAAAAGGGUUAUUCAGUUGCAGGAUAUUUUGAACGGGGUCUAUAUUUAUAUUUUUAUUUUUGCAAAUAAAUGGUUGUAGCUUUCUAUUAACCAAAGUUCUAUUGGAAGUAAAAUUGGAUUAUCAUAUAGAGGCAUUCGGUUAACGUUGGUAUGGGAAUGUUUCCUCAAUACUGAAGGCUUAUGAACAGUCAUGAGUCAACCACUCCAAUUAUCUGUCUAUAUCGAGUUGUACUUUCAACUUGGACAGGAGAGUGGAGUUACAACUAGCAUGUCCUUUAGCUCAUGCUGGGGACUCAGUUUUCCUUGACACUGCCACAUUAUGCAGGUCCUUAGUUUACAUGUGUAUUAAAGAUGGGGUUUGUUAUGACAAUGGAAUGUUGUACUAAUGGAAUGUGGAUGACUUGUCCCACGAUACAGUACUAGUGGUAUGCUGUGUCAACAAAGCACAUGCCAAUGAAAUGCAGCAUCAGUGAAUUUCUGGGCCCACCAUGCCAUCAGGCAGAUAUUUGCUGAGAACUGUCUGAAAAUACUCGAUGGUUAGUAAAGUAAUAGAAAAAACAACCCUGGAUGAAUCCUUCCCCUAAUUAAAUGUUGAGACUAGGGGUGGAACGAGGGACUAAGAGGAAUGGCUUCGCCCCUCUGUGUCAUAAACCCUGUCACACUGGAACAGAAUAAACUUGGAACUGAAAGCCCAGAUUCUGAGAGUGUAGAAUUCUGUAGACAAUAGGUAAAGGUCACCUAGUUAAGCUGAAAAAAAUCCAUCAGGGGUGUAUGGAGCCAACACUGUGAUAACUGGGAAUUUCUUUGAUCCAAACUUAAGAACAAGCUCUGCUGAAACUGAUAUUUUUUUUUAAAGUAAUGUUUAAAGUCUGGAUGCAGAUAUCAGUGUGCGCUCAUACAGUGCUUGCAGGCUAUGUUUUAAUAUAUUAUUUCUGUAUUUUUAUAUAUUGUAAUGUAUAACUGCAAUCAAGUAACUCAGGAUGAAAAGCUCUACUCAGGGACUGUAUGAAGCUAUUUCAUUUUGGUAGUGUAGUGUUUUGAUGAAUAAUCAAAUUGCAAUGGUACAAUUCUGAUAUACCUUGGAUCUACCUCUCAGUAUUUUUUGUAUGAUGGUAGUUUUCUGCUAGUCUUUCGGGCCAGGCAUUUUUCUAUACCUGUCUGGUGAUCUGUAACUUAUAAAAAAUGAUUAAUGACCAUUUUUAAUAAUAAUGUUGAUCUCACUGUGUCAAGUGGCUGUUUCAGAGGGAGUGCAACAGCUGAGGAUAUCAUCCCAUUGAUUCAAAUCAAGAGUAAAUUGGGGCGCAAGUGGCAACUGAAUUCUUCAUUGUCAAUUCCCCCCCAACAUCUGUCGAACAAAAUUCAACAGAUUUCCAGUCUACUGCAAUUUGAUCCAUCUUAAAGUUUUGAUAAAUAUCAGACUUAGAAAGUUGUGUGAAAAGAAAUCGAGGCAAGUUGAUUGUAUGCCAUUAGUUGAUUGCCUUGUGUUUAACAUUGCUUAGCCUUCCAGAUAAUUAGCCAUUGGUAGAACACAAUAGUUCCUGCAUUCAUUCAUUUUGAAAUGUUCCACUUUGUUGCUCCUUAAUAUGUUAAGACGUUGAGAAUCCUACUCCACAAUUGGAUGAUUCCUAUUUUGGUACUUGGCUUGUCCGGUGACUUUUGAAAGAACAUAACUAUGACCUGUUGAGCUGCUCAAGUCAAUGAAAUCGUUGCUGAUCUUUUCCCUCAAUCCAUUGUCCCUUCUUAUUUUCAUAUUCAUUGAUUACCCUAGUGAGUAAAAAUCGUGUGGAUUUGUCCUGUCUGUCCAUAAUACUCGGGCAGAGUUCCAAAUAGUCACAUUCUUCUAAGUGAAGAAAUCUCAAUGUUGGCCCUGCAUGGCUCGAUACAAUCCCCUCUUAAUAAUAAAUGCUUUGCCAGGCGCAUUAGCUGCUCAGCGCUCGCCCUGGUAAACCGUGUACAAAUAUAUUGCCCCUAAUUUAAACGUGAUUAAAAUGAUAGGUUUUUUGCAGCCUCGUUAGCUUGAUAGAUUAUUGCUUGUGAAGAUCAGAGGUGGAAUUAAUUUGGGCAGAAGUGCACUGUUGGCAAUGAGCAUGAGUGGACAUCAGCAGAACAAUGAUGAUGGGCAUUCUUGCGUUGGAAGGUCAAGCAAGCGACU
Long non-coding RNA from Amblyraja radiata (thorny skate), 3938 nucleotides. RefSeq lists it as uncharacterized. The transcript is spliced from 3 exons. Lineage: Eukaryota; Metazoa; Chordata; Chondrichthyes; Rajiformes; Rajidae. The record is from RefSeq and is a predicted model, not a curated record.